UUCAGAAGCUUGUUCAAGGAAUAUGUAUGUGUAAACUUUCUGAGUUGUAACAUUGUUAGUUCUCUUUGGAAUUAUGUCAACCUCAGGGGGAGUAUCCUAAAGUAUACUUGCUUGAUCUUAAUAUACUCAUUUUUCCUACGAUUAAGAGCAUUUUUCCCUUUGGGUUUUUGCUACCUAUCGAGGUUUUGACGAGGUACUUACCUUAGGUUGAUCAUUUCCUUGAUGACGUCCCCUAGACGUUUCAUUUGACUAUGCAUUUUCUCACACAUGUUUCUUUAGACUAUGGGUUUUGUCCCUACUUGGGUUUUACCAUUGUCAUUGGGUUUUUUUU
Molecule: long non-coding RNA, 331 nt
Filed under: Malus domestica (apple)
Lineage: Eukaryota; Viridiplantae; Streptophyta; Magnoliopsida; Rosales; Rosaceae
Description: long non-coding RNA (MDOM_LNC015410)
Source: RNAcentral